Molecule: ribosomal RNA, 330 nt
Filed under: uncultured eukaryote
Lineage: Eukaryota
Description: partial 18S ribosomal RNA
Rfam family: Eukaryotic small subunit ribosomal RNA
Source: RNAcentral
CCCUUAGAUGUCCUGGGCCGCACGCGCGCUACACUGAGUGUCUGAGAUACGAGUCUGCCUGGUCCGGCAAGGUCUAGGUAAUCGCUAAAAGACACAUCAUGCUUGGGAUAGAUUAUUGCAAAUAUUAAUCUUGAACGAGGAAUUCCUAGUAAGCGCAAGUCAUCAGCUUGCGUUGAUUACGUCCCUGCCCUUUGUACACACCGCCCGUCGCUACUACCGAUUGAAUGGCUUAGUGAGGCUUCCGGAUUGGUUUAGAGAAGGGGGCAACUCCAUCUUGGAACCGAGAAGCUAGUCAAACUUGGUCAUUUAGAGGAAGUAAAAGUCGUAACA